This 674-nucleotide ribosomal RNA is filed under the name uncultured Staphylococcus sp. RNAcentral describes it as "bacterial SSU rRNA". It matches the Rfam family "Bacterial small subunit ribosomal RNA", at positions 222 to 875 of the family's 1533-position model. Lineage: Bacteria; Bacillati; Bacillota; Bacilli; Caryophanales; Staphylococcaceae. The record is from RNAcentral.
AGCAUGGAUCCGCGCUGCAUUCAGCUCAGUUGGUCAAGGUCAACAGGCUUCACCAAAGGCCAACGCAUGCAUAGCCGACCUGAGAGGGUGAUCGGCCACACUGGAACUGAGACACGGUCCAGACUCCUACGGGAGGCAGCAGUAGGGAAUCUUCCGCAAUGGGCGCAAAGCCUGACGGCAGCAACGCCGCGUGCAGUGAUGAAGGUCUUCGGAUCGUAAAACUCUGUUAUUAGGGAAGAACAUAUGUGUAAGUAACUGUGCACAUCUUGACGGUACCUAAUCAGAAAGCCACGGCUAACUACGUGCCAGCAGCCGCGGUAAUACGUAGGUGGCAAGCGUUAUCCGGAAUUAUUGGGCGUAAAGCGCGCGUAGGCGGUUUUUUAAGUCUGAUGUGAAAGCCCACGGCUCAACCGUGGAGGGUCAUUGGAAACUGGAAAACUUGAGUGCAGAAGAGGCAAGUGGAAUUCCAUGUGUAGCGGUGAAAUGCGCAGAGAUAUGGAGGAACACCAGUGGCGAAGGCGACUUUCUGGUCUGUAACUGACGCUGAUGUGUGAAAGCGUGGGGAUCAAACAGGAUUAGAUACCCUGGUAGUCCACGCCGUAAACGAUGAGUGCUAAGUGUUAGGGGGUUUCCGCCCCUUAGUGCUGCAGCUAACGCAUUAAGCACUCCGCCUG